GUCAGGAUGGCCGAGCGGUCUAAGGCGCUGCAUUCAGGUUGCAGUCUCCCUGGGAGACGUGGGUUCGAGUCCCACUCUUGACA
This 83-nucleotide transfer RNA is filed under the name Tauraco erythrolophus (red-crested turaco). It matches the Rfam family "tRNA". From Rfam's summary of the family: Transfer RNA (tRNA) molecules are approximately 80 nucleotides in length. Their secondary structure includes four short double-helical elements and three loops (D, anti-codon, and T loops). Further hydrogen bonds mediate the characteristic L-shaped molecular structure. tRNAs have two regions of fundamental functional importance: the anti-codon, which is responsible for specific mRNA codon recognition, and the 3' end, to which the tRNAs corresponding amino acid is attached (by aminoacyl-tRNA synthetases). tRNAs cope with the degeneracy of the genetic code in two manners: having more than one tRNA (with a specific anti-codon) for a particular amino acid; and 'wobble' base-pairing, i.e. permitting non-standard base-pairing at the 3rd anti-codon position. Lineage: Eukaryota; Metazoa; Chordata; Aves; Musophagiformes; Musophagidae. The record is from Rfam by way of RNAcentral.